This is a non-coding RNA of Drosophila virilis, 2300 nucleotides long. NCBI's taxonomy places the organism in Eukaryota, Metazoa, Arthropoda, Insecta, Diptera, Drosophilidae. The record is from RefSeq and is a predicted model, not a curated record.
GAGUAUAUCAAAUGUGUGAAUAUGUGAAAUAUAGCCAUAAAUAGGAACGCAAAGGCCCAUCAAUGAUUAUGUCUGAUGCCAAUUAAAUUGCAACUAGCUCCUGAGUUCCAAUUAGAGUUUGCAAGUUCUGAGUGGAAAAUCUAACUGUUUGAUUUCACAUUGCCUUUAAAUGAGUCGGACAAAAGCAGACUGCAAUGGCACUCACUGAAAACCUAAUUGCUACGACACAGAAAUAAUAGGAAAUUCAACUUUAAAUAAUUAAAUAAGAAUUAAAGUCGAAUAAAUUUGUGCAAAAUAACUAUUGAAAUGCACAACUUUCGAUGAUGAAAGAAAACAAUUUUGCCAAGAUUUUAUAUUUGAAAGUAUGUAUUUUGAUUUAUUUGUAAUAUAGCUUGAUAAUCGUGAUAGAACAUGAUUAUCGCAAAUUUAACAAUAUUGGGGGGAUUCUCGGGUUUUAUUAAUCGAUUCGUACAGUUAACCGUUAACUUAGAUCGUCGUGUAUACAAAUCAAUACUUUCUUUAACUAUACAUUUGGGCUAGCAGAAUGGGGGAAGGAGGUUUACAUUUCGGAUAAGGUAAAAAUCCUAACGUCUGCCAUUUUACAAUAUUUACAAACAUACUAAUUGCCAAAAAUACACAAUUAAAUGUCAAGAACUCAUGUAAGUGAAAGUUGAACUUGCUUACACUCAAAACGAAACAGAUUAACAAAUUUUAUUUGAUUUUCCACAAAUGUUUUUUGUUGUAUAUUGUUAUUAUUAUUAUUAUUAUUAUUAAUAUAAAUGUUGGGCUACUUCAUUUGGGGGAUUAGUUAAACUGAUAUUCCGAAUUUGUUGAAACAAGUUGUCGACUUUCAUUCAGAGGAAUAUCAAUGAAAGUCGUGUAAAUUGAUAUAGAAAAUUCUCUACCUCUCUCUCGCUCUCUCUCUCUCUCUCUCUCGCUCUCUCAAUAUAUGUAUAUAUAUGUUAUGAACGUUAAUCUGUAUGUAGUAUACGAAUAUUUGUUGGACAAAUCGAUCAGUUUAGCAGUUAGACAGCGUUAAGCAUACACAUACACAUAUGGAAAUAAUUGGAGAUGCUCUAUUUAAGUAAUUCUCUUUUGUUUUGGUAUUUAAAUCGUAUCUGUAUGUUAUGUCUAUAUAGUAAAUGAUUCGAUGCUGAGCACAAAUGCCAACUCAUCAUUCCAACUCAUCAUUCAUCAUUCAUCAUUCAUCAUUCAUCGUUCAUCAGUGAUAUUGUGAAGGUGCGAAGAAUGGCUCGCGAGAGCAUAAAAACAAAUGAGAAUGAGGACGAGACUCCAGGUGAGUGAGAAGCAGCUGUCGGAUCUGUGUGCCAAAUUGUGUUGGACUGCGGCGGGUAAUUCUCCUGCAAAUGCAAAAUUUGUAAUAUGUUUUGUUUUGGGCUUGCAUCAACAGUUAUUACCCGUGAGUACUUGAACUUGCACAAUUACAGUGAAUAGUCUACCAAGGGAACAGGAAUAGUUGCCGCUAUCUGAGAGCUUGGCUUCUGGUAUGGAAAUGCGACUGUUGAGCCAUUUAUCGGAUACGCUGCAAAAUAAUUGAUUGAUUGAAUGCAUGAAUGGAAUGCACAUUGAAUUCGAUGGUAAGCAUACCUGGAACGUCUAUUGGUCGGUGCUGGCAGCGGUUCCUCGUCCUUGGCCCAGGUAAUGAAGUUAGUAAAGUAUUUCUCCAGCUCCUGGCUCGAGAAUGUGCUAUAUGUUUGAUUCGCAUCGGCGAUCAGAUUUAUGUCGCUGCCCGUCUCAUUCGGUUUGUUGGCUGAGCCGCUCGAGCCCGUCGAUUUGAGUAUGCUGUGGCGCUCCUUUUGGAAGAAAUUCCGAGAUAUUUGACACUGCAGAUCCACAGUGCUGCCGGACUUGUAAUAUCUGUCGCCCACAUCGCGUUCAUGCUCAUCGAUUAUCCUUAACGGCGGCUCUGCAGCCAAAGCAAUUCAGAUAAUACGCCGAUUAGUUCAUUUUGGAGAUAUAUGUAUGUGUGUGUGUGUGUGUGUGUGUGUGUGUGUGCACCUACCCAAUAUGGUCAGGUUUGUGGUGAAGACACGCGGAGGAUGCGUUGAAACCUGGCACAUAUAGAUGCCAGCAUCUUCCCUUUGCGUUGGGUUUAUCAUCAGGCGCCAAUUGUUCGGAUACUGAAACUUGACUCGUAUGCGUGGAUCCCCGCUAUAUGUGACAUUUCCAACGGUUAGCAGUGACACCUUCUCAGUUGUUCGCCUCACCCACAUUACCUGCAAUCGGCAAUCGAUCAUUUAAUUUCCUCUAUUUGUCUGUAUUUGCAGUGAAACAUCAAA